AGCGGGAAGCGGUUCAGGGCAGCCGGGGAGUCUCAUAAGCUCCUGAUGGUGGGUUCGAGUCCCACUCCCGCUA
This 73-nucleotide transfer RNA is filed under the name Elusimicrobiota bacterium. Its description in RNAcentral is "tRNA-Met". It matches the Rfam family "tRNA". From Rfam's summary of the family: Transfer RNA (tRNA) molecules are approximately 80 nucleotides in length. Their secondary structure includes four short double-helical elements and three loops (D, anti-codon, and T loops). The record is from RNAcentral. Lineage: Bacteria; Pseudomonadati; Elusimicrobiota.